GAAAAACGCCCAUGGUUUGUUCUCCUUUCAAACCACUUCCAAAUCAUUUAACUCUGAAUAUCUUUCCUUUUCUGGAAUAGUGCCGACCAACAAAUUCUACAAUAAUUCGAUGAUGGAACGGCAACCUGCAAAAAUAUUACUGUAUCAAAAACACUGACCAAGUAUUCCGGCGGCAAUGGCCGUGUAUCGGAUUUUAUGAAGUGCAAUUCGAUGGAAAUUCCUGCACGGCGAUCUAAUUACACUCUAUUAAGCCAAAAUCCCGACGAGCCGUUUUAUCCACAACCACUAUCCACAGCAGCCUUUGGUUGGGACGCGAUUGAUCAGAGAAUGAUUUCAGCGCCGCCGCAGAAGCAGUCGAGUGGGAGCAGCUUCGCCGAGAGCUCGUUAUCGGGGGAUUAUUAUGCGCCCUCGCUCUCCAACCCCGAUGACGUCGGUAUCAGUAGUAAUUUGAGUGAUGGAGUUGGCGAAUUCAGGGCUUUUGGCUCUUCUAAAAGCUGGGCUCAGCAGACGGAGGAGGGCUACCAGUUGCAGUUCACUUUGGCUCUUCGUCUCUCGUCUGAGGCUACAUGUGCUGAUGAUCCUAAUUUGUUGCAUCCUGUGCCUAACGAAGCCGUCUCCAUUGCUUCUUCCGAGAUUUCUCAUCGAUAUUGGAUAAAUGGUUGCUUGUCAUACUUCGAUCGAGUACCUGAUGGAUUUUACAUGAUUCAUGGGAUGAAUCCAUAUGUUUGGACUGUGUGCUCUGAUCAUCAGGAAAGUGGCCGCAUUCCUUCCCUUGAAUCAUUAAGGACCGUUGAUCCUGCCUGUGUUUCUUCAGUUGAAGUGAUUUCAGUAGAUCGACGGGGUGAUCCUAGCUUGAAAGAACUUCACAAUCGAACUAAUGGCUUGUCAUCUAGUUGCAUCACCACAAAGGAAGUUGUUGAACAGCUAGCAAAGCUAGUUUGUAAUCAUAUGGGGGAUGCAGCAUCUAACGGGGAAGAUAAUUUGGUCACCCCUUGGAAAGAGUGCAUUGAUGAGUUAAAAGAUUGCAUGGGUUCAGUAGUUCUCCCUGUUGGCAGUCUGUCUAUUGGACUUUGCCGACAUCGCACACUGCUAUUCAAAGUUUUAGCUGAUGGUAUUGGGUUACCAUGUCGAAUUGCAAGGGGGUGUAAAUAUUGUACUAGAGAAAAUGCUUCGUCGUGCCUUGUUCGCUUUGGGCUUGACAGGGAGUAUCUUGUCGAUUUAGUUGAGAAACCAGGGUGCUUAUAUGAGCCUGAUUCAUUACUGAACGGUCCUUCUACUAUCUCAAUUUCAUCACCUUUACGCUUUCCACGAUUUAGGCAGGUGGAAUCUCCAACUGAUUUUAGGCUGCUGGCCAAACAGUUCUUCUCGGAUAUUCAGUUUCUUAAUUCUGAAUUCUGUGAGUUUUUAGCAGCUGGAACUGUUAAUAAGGGAGGUACUGACAACUCCAUGCAUCAUAAACAAUCAGAGGGGAACUACAUGGAUAGGAGCAGCUGCCCACCCAGCUCAACCUCUCAUGAGGAGAUUUCUAUCACACCACAAUAUGCCACAAAUUCUUGGAUCAAGGUUCACGGUCAAGGCCAAUUGCUUUCCAGACCAUCCGACUUUCAGGAAGUUAUGAGCUCCUCAAAUACGUUCUCAGAAUCGAUCCCUGAGAAGCUUCUUCCCCAAUCAGGGCAUGGAAAUGCUCAAGUUCUUCCCUUCUUGAGUCCUAGAAUAGAAACAAGCAAAAAUUCAAGGUUUGGUGAAGGAGGUCAAUUAUUCCCAUCUAAAUCAAGGGAAUAUACCUUCUAUGUGGAUGAUCUAAACAUUCCAUGGAGCGAUCUUGUUGUAAAGGAGAUAAUUGGGGCAGGUUCAUUCGGGACAGUUCAUCGUGCUGAGUGGAAUGGAUGUGAUGUUGCUGUGAAAAUUCUCAUGGAACAAGACUUUCAUGCAGAGCGAUUCAAAGAGUUUAUACGAGAGGUGGCAAUUAUGAAACGACUGAGGCAUCCAAAUAUUGUGCUUUUUAUGGGUGCAGUAACAGAACCACCUAACUUGUCUAUAGUUACAGAAUAUUUGUCAAGUGGUAGUCUUUACAGACUUUUGCAUAAACCUGGUGCAAGAGAGGUACUAGAUGAGAAACGCCGUCUGAGCAUGGCUUAUGAUGUGGCAAAAGGGAUGAACUAUCUUCACAAACGCAAUCCUCCAGUUGUUCAUCGAGACCUAAAAUCUCCUAAUCUUUUAGUUGAUAAAAAGUAUACUGUGAAGGUCUGUGAUUUUGGUCUUUCCCGUUUAAAAGCAAACACAUUUCUUUCAUCCAAGUCUGCUGCUGGAACUCCUGAGUGGAUGGCACCUGAAGUGCUCCGUGAUGAACCAUCGAAUGAAAAAUCAGAUGUAUACAGUUUUGGUGUUAUUUUGUGGGAGCUGGCAACAUUGCAGCAACCUUGGGGUAACCUGAAGCCUGCACAGGUUGUGGCAGCUGUUGGUUUUAAAGGAAAAAGGCUUGAAAUUCCCCGAGAUGUGAAUCCUGAAGUAGCAGCCAUUAUCGAGGCUUGCUGGGCCAAGGAAUCCUGGAAAAGACCCUCCUUUUCCAGUAUCAUGGAAUCAUUGAGACCAUUCAUUAAGAACUCAGCACUAACUCAGCCAGGUUCUGCUGAAAUGCCUUUGCUGAUGUGAAAUUGCAUGAAUCGAGGAAACUUGGUUCGAUUUCAGAUUCAUAUGAUGUAAGGACCCAGUGUAAAUAUAUAAUUUUGGUUUCUAUUUUGGCUGUGUAAUUGUCAAUGCCAAUUGGCAAAUGCAUGUGUUUGUAUAUUAAGUUAAGACAACAAAAUGUAUAAUAAAACAUAUGUUGGUUUAGGGUCUAUUGUUAAUAGGAGAUUCUUCAUCCAACCAUUCCUUGAUGUCUGAACAUCCUUCAAGCUGCAUUGACCCUAUUUCCGAAACAUCUAAAAGCCCACUCUCAACCCCAAAAUCCGGUGCAUCGUAGUAAUUGCUAACAUAACCCCACGGAUCACCAGCUUCCAGGCCCAUGCUCCACGCGUCUCCUGCUAUCAAGAAUCCAGGAACACCAUUCUCCACAACUACAUUCUGCGGAGAAGAGGCAAAAUGCUCGUCGGCUGUGGGGUUCAUGGCACCAACCGAGCCAUCCUUCUUCGGGGCAUGGAUGAGUUCAUCUCCCCUGACCUGGUGCAGUGAUGGUUGAUCAGAGCCGGGUGUCACAUCAAAACUGCAGAGCUCGGUCUGAUGUUUCACGAACUUUCUCAUUGUUCUAGAGGAUGAAGGAAUGCUCGAGUUGAUCAAUCUCGCCAGGAAUGAGAUCAUCUGCUUGUGUCUCGUCUCUGCUGCCUCGAGCUUCUCCUUCACCACUUGCAUAUGCUGAACCAUAAGGCGCUGCUCGUCCUGCAAUCCCAUCAGCUCCUCCAUCAUUAGUCGUCUCUCCCUCCUCGACUCUCUAAUCUCAGCUUGCCAUGCGGUAGAUGGCCCCUCAAGCCGGUGAUGUGAUUUCCGUCUCUGUAUCGUCUUCAAUAGAUGCCUCUGCCCUUGUACAAAUCCUCCACUCCUAAACUCCCAUUUAUCCGUGUCUAUUUUGCGAAAUCCCUGCACAUUAGUAUUAUUUAUAUCUCUCUA
Salvia hispanica is the source of this 3603-nucleotide RNA transcript. It is a transcript of the gene named serine/threonine-protein kinase CTR1-like, with no coding region annotated. Lineage: Eukaryota; Viridiplantae; Streptophyta; Magnoliopsida; Lamiales; Lamiaceae. The record is from RefSeq and is a predicted model, not a curated record.